Spea bombifrons (plains spadefoot toad) is the source of this 423-nucleotide long non-coding RNA. RefSeq lists it as uncharacterized. The transcript has 3 exons. NCBI's taxonomy places the organism in Eukaryota, Metazoa, Chordata, Amphibia, Anura, Pelobatidae. The record is from RefSeq and is a predicted model, not a curated record.
UGGGCGGGAUCAUCACUGGACACGCGCAGAGAAGGCGGGGUCUGAAUUGAACAUGCGAAGGAAUGGCUUCUCGUCGGAACAAAACAAGGGCAUCUCCUGUCAUAUCGCGUGAAGAAGGAGCAGUGAUGCAACCAGUUUGAAGUGACUUUGGAGAAAUCGAACAAAAACUUUGCAAAGAAGAUUCAGCAGGUAAGGCAUCUGAUUUGGAAAAUAACUAAAAUGUGUGGGGAUUUAAUCUACUGUCAAUCACUUUAUAUCACGAUGGCUUCCAGUUCUGAUGCGCACCAAAUUUCAUGCAAAUUGUCAUUCAUUUGCCAAGAGCCCUCUGUGACCGUUGCAUUAGCUGGACAUCGUAGCACAAUUCUUGCUCUUCGUAAAUCUUUUAUGCUAGAGGUUGUUUACGAUUUUCAUAUUAACGCAAAA